Molecule: long non-coding RNA, 6935 nt
Filed under: Cinara cedri
Lineage: Eukaryota; Metazoa; Arthropoda; Insecta; Hemiptera; Aphididae
Source: RNAcentral
UUUUUCUUUUAAAUAUGUUUUCGUAUAAUUUUAAAAACGAUUCGUUGACACGGCAUAAUGUAACACAAUUAACAAUUAUUAUUAUUAGUAUAUUUUUUCUUUCAUAAUUUUAUAUAAUCCACUUGAGCACUCAUUUUGUGCACUGGUAAAAUAUAUAAUAUGUAUAUAUAAUAUGUAUUUAUAUAUAAUAUAUAAUAAUAAUACGAGUAUAAUAUGUACGGAAAAGAUCGUUGUAUAAAAUAAACUUAAAUUAUUCAUACUACUGGACACGGAUCAAGAGUGCCGCUACACAACUUGCCCGUAUUUAUAAUAAUAAUUAUGUAAGUAAUAAUAAGAUAGAUAAAUAAUAUAUAUAUAUAUUUUUUUUUUAAUAAUAAAAUAAGUACAAUAAUAAAGAAAAAAAUAAUUAGUCGAAAAAAAACCACAAUGAACUCAUUCAUUAAUUAUUAAUCAAAUAUACUCGCAAGGUGCUAAAUUAAUAAAUUAAUAUAAUAUUGUAAUAAAUAUAAAGAAAAAAAAAAAACAAAAAAAAAAAAAAAAAAACAAAAAACAAAAAAAACUAAAAGAAUAUGAAGAAAAAAUGCAAAUAUAUUAAUUAAUAAUAAGUACACCUAUAAUUAUAGUAAUAGUUAUCUAAUUACCUAAAAAUUAGAUUGAUAUAUGGAGUGUUUCAAAAAAAAAAAAUUAAUAUCAUACACGAUGAUUAAUACUUCUCUUUUAUUUCUCGGCUAAUGUUGUACAUUUUUAUUUAGUGUAGAAAAAAAAUCAAUUACGAUGUAUUUUAUAAUAAAUCGAGUGAAAACACUCAGAAAUUAUUAUAUACUCUAAGUAAUAUUAGAUAUUCAUUAAACGUAACUGAAAAAAAAAAAUGUGUUUUUCAAGUAAUCCGUAUAAUGUUUAAUAUUAAUAAUAUUAUAUUAAUACAAUGAAACACCCCAAUAGUUAUAACUUAAAUUAUCGAAAAAAUAAAUAAAUCAUACACGAAUAUUAUACAGACAUGAAGGGAUGAUUUUUUUUUUACCAAGUAUAUAAUAAUAAUAGAAUCGAAAAUAUAAUAAAUCGAAUUAAAAUGAAUUAUAAUAGCAUUAAUUAUUUUGUUAGUUGUAUAAUAAUAUGUUACUAUAUAAAUAAGAAUGAGAAUAAAAUGAUAAUAAUAUUGUAUAUUUUGUAUAAUAAUAAUAUAGUAUAAGUAAUAAUAAUAAUAAUAAUAAUAAUAAUAAUAAUAAUAAUAAUAAUAAUAAUAAUAAUAAAAAUAAUAAUAAUAAUAACAAUAAUAAUAAUAAUAAUAAUAAUAAUAAUAAUAAUAAUAAUUUAAAUACACACAAAUAUCGAAAUCAAAGCUAUUAUAAUAAGUAUAAUGUAACCUAUAUAGUAACUAUAUAGGUUACCUAUAUAGUUAAACAUUUUUUUUUUUUUAUAAUAAACAUUUUUUGUUUUACAUAACUUUAUAAUAUUAUUAUAAUUAAUAGAAGUGUAAUUCUUUAUUAUUUAUAAACCAUAAAGUGCUUCGGCGAAAAGUAUAAGUCAAUAACCCAUAAACACAAAUAUAAUUUUACUAAUUACGAAAUUAUAAAUACACACAGAAAGAAAUCAGAUUGGAAGACAAAGGAGUUCAUCUUAUCAAUUUGUAAAAAUAGUUGCCAUGGUUUAAGAAAAUUAUUUAAGGUUGUUAAAGAAUAAUUGGUUUUUUUUUUUACAUUGGACGAAUAUCAUUGUAUAGGGUUAGGUUUAUUUAUUUAUUUAUUAUUAUUAUUAUUAUUAUUAUUAUUAUUUUUUUUUUUUUUUUUUUUUUGAUUUGUUUAUACUAACAAUUUCAAUGAGAAAUAGGUACGGUCUCAAUCGCCAAAAAAUAGCGUGAAAUAUUUUCAGAACAUAUUAUUUUAUUUGAUGGAACGAUGGAGACUAUAUUAUCACAUAAGUAAUUAAAGUUUGGAAAAAUAGACGAGAAAAUUGUUUUUACUCGAUAUUUAUAUAUUAUAUUACCUAUACCUAUUUAUAAAUAAUGGUAUAAUCUUAAAUUAUUAUAAUGACUAGAAUUAUAAUUAGAACGGUUGGAUGAUGAGAGUGGAAAACAACCGGUAAUUACAGAAAAUUUGAUGCUUUUAAAAAAAUGUAUAAAUACUAUAUUAUAUACGUGUACACGUAUACAUCCGAUAAUAUGCAUAUUUUAUGUAUUAUUAUGAUAGGUACUUGGGACAAUACAUUAUGGAAUACAAUAUAACGUAGACGGAUAAGAACAUAAAUAAACGAAUAAGACAAUAUUAUUAUAAAUCAAUUAAUUACUCAUUUUCGUCGGCAAUCCUAUAUUAUUGCGUGAAAACGUCCCAUAUUAUAAUAUUAUUACAACAAUAUAUUAGUAUAAUAAUAUUAUAGAAGUAAAAGAACGAAGAAUAAUGAGUAAUAAUAUCAAAAGUGGGUAAAAACUCAAUGAGAUCAUAAUAAUAAUUUACACGCGGUUGUGUUCUUAUUAUUAUAAUAUUAUAAUACCAAUACAAUAUGGAAGGUAAGUACACUGCCAGAUAAGUGUAGGUAAUAAUUAUUAUUAAAUACUUAUUAAUAUUUAUAUAGUUUAUAAAGUAUGUAUUUUUUUUUAAAUUUUUUUUUUUUAAUUGCAUAAAAUACGAUAUAAAUUAUUAUUUUAUUUAUAAAAACUUAACGAACCAAAAUGUUCGGAAUAAGAUUAAUUAUUGCAAUGACCCGGAUACACGUGACGUUUUAUAAUAAUAUAAUACAUAUUAGUAAUACAAUAAUUAUUAUUAUAUUAUCAUUAUCGUCUACGUUACCUACGUAUAUAUAUUAUAAUAUAUAUUUAUAUAUAUACAGGGUGGUCAAAAGUCAAUGCCGUCCGAUUUACAUGCGAUUCGAAACAAAUAAAAGUGGCAAAGUUAGUUAUUUAUAGUUUUAGUAUACAAAAAAUUAUAUAUAUUAAAAAAUUAGAAAAAAAAUAUCGAGUAUCUGGUGCUCAAAAUGUCGAUAUUUUUUUAUUUUGUUUUUUUGUAUAAUAAACGUAUAGGUGAAGAAACUAUAUAACUUUGAACUUUGGUUUUUCAAGAAUCGAGCGUAAAUCGUACAACCGAAAUUUGGCCACCCCUUUCUUUCUUUUAGAAAAAAAAAUGUUUUUUCUCCCCCCCUCCCCGAGCUUUUAAACUUAAAACAAUCUCGUAUAGAGAAUGUUAUUGUACAAUAUUAUUAGAUUUUUUUUUUUUUAAUCUUCAAUAACACAGUCCAAUAAUAAUAACGACGCUCAUACAAAUCUCACUUGAAAAACAUGUAAAAAUAUUUGUGAUAAUAUGCAAAAAUAUAUUAACUAUAGGAAUUAAUAAUAAUAAUAGGGGAACACGCGUGUUUUUAAUAUAAUAUUAUUUUUAUCGGUAAUAUUUAACGUUUUAAAUCUUUUUUUCGAUUAGAAGAUUUUUAGCGUAAAUACUAUUCGAAAUAUUCUUUAUAAUAUUACAUUGUAUUUGCCAGCGUGUUCAUAUAUAUUAUUAAGUAGAUCAUUACGAUAUUAUUAAUUAAUAUCUAUUAAUAUUUUAUCUUUUCUUUUUUUCUUUUUUUCUUUUUUUAUAUAAUAUAUAUUAUAUUAUUAUACCUAAUCAAUUAGAAAAUGUUGCAAUAAUAAUAAUUUCACUAUCAUAUUCGAAAGAAAACUCGUUAUUUAAAAUUAUUAUCACUAUUUAUAAACUUUUCGUAUAAACCGGUAUAAUAAAACCUACCAUGUAAAAAUGUAUCAAGUAUUAUUAUAAUAUUUUAAACGUAAAUGUUUAUUGUUAAACUAAAACGACAUUUCAAAAAAUAUAUACUCUUUAUAAACAAAGUAGACUAUAUUAUAAUAUUUUACUAUUUAUAUGCCUGUAUUAGCCUGUAUUAAAAAUAUAACAAAACAAACUUUCUAUAAAUUAUUUUAAAAAUCCCUAUAUAACUAUAUAUGACUUUUAGCAAGAAAUUUUUAUUUUUCAAUGCUCGUCACCUAUAUAUAUUAUUGCUAUCAUAAUUUCAAAAUUGUUCGAUUAACGAACGAAUAUUUGUAUCGUAGUAAAAAAAGCACCUACCUAUUAGAACAAAAAAUAAUGUUUCUCAAACUUUUCAAGUAAAUAGAACCAAUUAUUAUUUAGACAUUAUAGGUAGGUAUAACAAUAAAACAACGUGACGGGAGUCCAUUUUAACGAUUUUUUACUCAGCUCUGUACAAAAUAAUAAUAUUAUCAUAAAAUGUAAACAAAGGGCAAUGGAUAUUUAUAUAUUGUGUUCAAUAUAGAAUAAUAAUAAUAAGUGCUAUGAUUUUAAAGAAGCGUUGGUAAGAGAGAGGGGGAUUGGUGGUCUAAUUUUCUCUCUAACUUGUUCCAACUAAAUAUUAACACUUCAAUAUUUAUUAUUUUUAAAACUCUCAAUCCACUCCUAUUAAAAAUAAUUGAUAAGUCAAAAUCACCCACUCAUAAAUAAUCUAUGUGUACGCAUCUGCGUGAUUAUAGAUUGAUAACUUUUUUGCAUUUGUCGCCAUUUGCCCUGCUAUAUACAUAAAUAAAACUUUCAAAACCACAUUAACUGACACACUAUAUUAUGUAGAAUAUAUACAAUUAUUUAUCUUUUUUUCUCCUUCUUUGUCUUCUCUCUCACGGUUAUAACAAUAAUAAUAAUAUUUAAGUACAAAACAUUAAAUAUUGAAAACUGAUUAUUAUCCUAUAUUAUAUAGGUAGGUAAUAUAUAUUAUUAUGAAACAUCAUCAUGUGUAAAACAACUCGUUGUUUAGGUAAUCACCGAAACGGAUAUCGCGAAAUCCUCGAAAUCUGAGGGAAAAAAUUUUAUAAGUUUUAAUUUGUUAUUUAUUUAUACAUAUUUUUUUUUUGUAUAGACGAUUAUAUUACAAAUAAAUUAUUAUAUAUAAAUUAUCGAUACAGUUAGAAUAUUAUACCGCGUAUAGAACAGAUUGUUAUGUGGCUGCGAUUUUGCUAUUAAGAAAAAUAAAAUUUCUUAUAUCAAAACGAAUUAGAUUGUAUAAUUAUAUAUUUAUUAUUUUUUUUGUGUUGUUGUUAUCAAUUUUAAUGCAGUAGUUUUAAAUUUCCCUGGUAAUGCUUGUUAAACGAUUUAAAGGUGUAAUACAAUGUAUGUCGAUUAAUCGAAAACAUAUUAUAAAACGAUGAGCGAAAUGGAAAAAAAAACCUAAAUAACGGCGUCCGAUCAUAAUUAAUAAUAUUGAUAUAGUAUAUAGGUAGGUACCCGUUCACCGAUAUGAUCAAUCAUCAAGAAUUAUUUUAUGAUUUUAAUAUACUAUAGUUAACUUAUUAUUUCCAAAAUCGGUAAUAGAAUUAAAAAAAAACAAGAAAAAAAUCAUCGAUAGAAUCAUAAUAAAAUAUGUCGUUAUUUUAAAGGAUUUAAUACCUUUGUAUUAAAUCCUUAAUAUCAAUAUCGACUAAACGGUAUUGAUUAUGAAAGUCUAGUAUUAUGAAUACUUUCACAUAUUCACUGUACGCCAAAACGUUGAUUAGGUUCUUUUUAUCGACGCUUAUAUUAUAAAUUAUUGUAUAAUAUACACAAAUGUCAGACAUUGAUAACCAAUAUAACAAUAAGAACACCGCUCAUGGGUAAUUUCAAAGAAUAUAUAAUGUACCUGUUUCUGUAAAAAUAAUGUUACGAUUUGAAAUUAUUUCAUUAUAUUUGUAGAAUUGUUGUUUAUUUUAUUAAGAGAAAAAAAAAUCUAAAAUAACCCUGCUUAAAAUCUGAUAUACUAGAAAAAACUCCACAUAUUUUUGUUUCCUUUGGUAUUUGAAUUUUAUGUAUCAUAAUAUGUAUAUAUAUAUAUGAAAAUACAUACUAAUAUUUAUUUUGGUUUGCUUAGAAUUUAUCGAUAAAUGAAAUUCCGAAAUUUGUUUUCGUUCCAAAAAAAAAAAAAACAAAUUUGUUACGAAAUUCAAACUUAAAAUAUGCAUUAUAGCACACUACGGAUUUUAAACCGUAAUAAAUAAUCGUAGUAAAAUAUAGUAAACUAUAACAAAUAAUUAAACACAAAACGAGAAUCACAUGGCCGUCGUUUGUUUUGAUUCCGGAAUUUGGUCAAAACCAAUACCCAGUAAGAUAAAUGCGCAUUAAAUCUCAGCAUAUAAAGUAAUUUAAGUAAAUAUUUAUGUGCGUUAUUUAAAUUAAUACAAUAUAUUUUCGUGUAUACGACAGUGGCGGCUUGGAUAGGGUACAUUUGAUUUACGUGAUUCAUAAAAAAAAAAUGGGUGGGGGGUCGUGGGUGCCUGGGUAUAUAAGAAAUAUAACAAAAAUAUUAUAUUUUUACAAAAUAAAAUUUAUUAAAAGAAUUUUAAACUGCAGAAAUUUAACCAUUUUAAUUGGAAUUUGUGGUAGAAUGGGGCUGUGGGGGUAUUUUGGGACGGCAUGGAUGGGUGGAUGGGUGGAAAUUUAAAUCAGUGAUGCAAGGUAAAAAUACUUCGAACCACCACUGAUUAUUACCUACACUCGUAUAUUAUACGGUAUAUACUUCAAAUGUAAUAGGUAAGUAUGUAUGUAGGUAUAAUUAUUGUUAUUACUUGCAAUUUAGUUAAAUUCUAUUAUACAGAAUAUAUAGGUACAAUUCACAAAACAUUUUACCGUUCUGAAAUAUGAUUUCAAUUGAAUUUAUCAUCAGACAAUCUAUAUAUUCUAAACAAUUUAAUUUAGUUACCUAAAAAUUUAUUUCCGAAAGAUUAUAACAUACAUUUACAAUAGUUUUCUGAUGUCGAGUUUCAAAAAUGCAAAUACAUAAUAAUAUAGAAUUCAAUAUAUUAUUCUAUAUAUAUACACAAUAUACAAAAACUGGAUAUUUUUAAUACUUUCAAUUAUUAAUGGUACCUAUUAAUUAGUUGAGAGUACAAUAUAAUAUAUUAUUAUAGCAAUUAUUUUAUUAAUUAUUUCGAGUAAAAUUAUUAUUAUAUUAUUAUUAUUAUUAUUAUUAUUAGU